GCCCAAUUUCGCACGUGCCUGUGGUCGUGUGUCAGUCGGUAGGUAUCCGGACAAGAGGCCGGACAGCCGCCAAGGGAUGAAGAAGCCGAGGGUCGUUCGCGGAGUUUUGCGAAAGGCCAGCAUCUCUCUCCAGAGAUGCCGUUGAAGGUGACUUUGUUCUUUGCAACCGUGACUGGCAGCCGGAGGCGAACCGGCGCACCUCGUUCUCAACGGGGGACGCGACUUAAAGCAACGACGGAGCGGGCUUUU
This 249-nucleotide small RNA is filed under the name Tardiphaga robiniae. Its description in RNAcentral is "Rhodopseudomonas sp. R-45977 Alphaproteobacterial sRNA ar45". It matches the Rfam family "Alphaproteobacterial sRNA ar45". Lineage: Bacteria; Pseudomonadati; Pseudomonadota; Alphaproteobacteria; Hyphomicrobiales; Nitrobacteraceae. The record is from Rfam by way of RNAcentral.